RNAcentral lists this ribosomal RNA (1419 nucleotides) under bacterium NLAE-zl-P440. RNAcentral describes it as "bacterial SSU rRNA". It matches the Rfam family "Bacterial small subunit ribosomal RNA". The record is from RNAcentral.
AUCNGGCUUACCAUGCAAGUCGAGGGGCAGCAUGGUCUUAGCUUGCUAAGGCCGAUGGCGACCGGCGCACGGGUGAGUAACACGUAUCCAACCUGCCGUCUACUCUUGGACAGCCUUCUGAAAGGAAGAUUAAUACAAGAUGGCAUCAUGAGUCCGCAUGUUCACAUGAUUAAAGGUAUUCCGGUAGACGAUGGGGAUGCGUUCCAUUAGAUAGUAGGCGGGGUAACGGCCCACCUAGUCUUCGAUGGAUAGGGGUUCUGAGAGGAAGGUCCCCCACAUUGGAACUGAGACACGGUCCAAACUCCUACGGGAGGCAGCAGUGAGGAAUAUUGGUCAAUGGGCGAGAGCCUGAACCAGCCAAGUAGCGUGAAGGAUGACUGCCCUAUGGGUUGUAAACUUCUUUUAUAAAGGAAUAAAGUCGGGUAUGNAUACCCGUUUGCAUGUNCUUUAUGAAUAAGGAUCGGCUAACUCCGUGCCAGCAGCCGCGGUAAUACGGAGGAUCCGAGCGUUAUCCGGAUUUAUUGGGUUUAAAGGGGAGCGUAGAUGGAUGUUUAAGUCAGUUGUGAAAGUUUGCGGCUCAACCGUAAAAUUGCAGUUGAUACUGGAUAUCUUGAGUGCAGUUGAGGCAGGCGGAAUUCGUGGUGUAGCGGUGAAAUGCUUAGAUAUCACGAAGAACUCCGAUUGCGAAGGCAGCCUGCUAAGCUGCAACUGACAUUGAGGCUCGAAAGUGUGGGUAUCAAACAGGAUUAGAUACCCUGGUAGUCCACACGGUAAACGAUGAAUACUCGCUGUUUGCGAUAUACGGCAAGCGGCCAAGCGAAAGCGUUAAGUAUUCCACCUGGGGAGUACGCCGGCAACGGUGAAACUCAAAGGAAUUGACGGGGGCCCGCACAAGCGGAGGAACAUGUGGUUUAAUUCGAUGAUACGCGAGGAACCUUACCCGGGCUUAAAUUGCAGAUGAAUUACGGUGAAAGCCGUAAGCCGCAAGGCAUCUGUGAAGGUGCUGCAUGGUUGUCGUCAGCUCGUGCCGUGAGGUGUCGGCUUAAGUGCCAUAACGAGCGCAACCCUUGUUGUCAGUUACUAACAGGUUCCGCUGAGGACUCUGACAAGACUGCCAUCGUAAGAUGUGAGGAAGGUGGGGAUGACGUCAAAUCAGCACGGCCCUUACGUCCGGGGCUACACACGUGUUACAAUGGGGGGUACAGAGGGCCGCUACCACGCGAGUGGAUGCCAAUCCCAAAAACCUCUCUCAGUUCGGACUGGAGUCUGCAACCCGACUCCACGAAGCUGGAUUCGCUAGUAAUCGCGCAUCAGCCACGGCGCGGUGAAUACGUUCCCGGGCCUUGUACACACCGCCCGUCAAGCCAUGGGAGCCGGGGGUACCUGAAGUGCGAACCGCGAGAGCGCCCUAGNAAUUNC